This 459-nucleotide non-coding RNA is filed under the name Triticum aestivum (bread wheat). RNAcentral describes it as "Bacterial small subunit ribosomal RNA". It matches the Rfam family "Bacterial small subunit ribosomal RNA", at positions 412 to 787 of the family's 1533-position model. Lineage: Eukaryota; Viridiplantae; Streptophyta; Magnoliopsida; Poales; Poaceae. The record is from Rfam by way of RNAcentral.
UUUUUUUUAUCGUACAUCUUAUGUUACCUACAUACACUAAAGUAAGGACUACUUAAUUCUAACGAGAAUCAGAUUAAAUAGGUCGAUCAAAAAUCUCGGAGAAGAAACAAUGACGGUAUCUGAGGAAUAAACAUCGGCUAACUCUGUGCCAGCAGCCGCGGUAAGACAGAGGAUGCAAGCGUUAUCCGGAAUGAUUGGGAGUAAAAUGUCUCUAGGUGGCUUUUCAAGUCCGCCGUCAAAUCCCAUGGCUCAACCCUGGACAGGCGGUGGAAACUACCAAGCUGGAGUAUGGUAGGGGCAGAGGGAAUUUCCGGUGGAACAUCCUGAAAUACCUGAAAAGGACUAAGGAUAUGUUUCUCAUAUAUGGAGGUGACAAAGAGCUAGUCGUAAAUGGUUACGUCGAUGCAAGCUUUGACACUGAUCUGGACAAUUCUAAAUCGCAAACCGGAUACGUAUUUU